UGGGGGAAUAUUGCAUAAUGGGCGAAAGCCUGAUGCAGCAACGCCGCGUGAGGGAAGACGGUCUUCGGAUUGUAAACCUCUGUCCUUGGUGAAGAAACAUGACGGUAGCCAUGGAGGAAGCCACGGCUAACUACGUGCCAGCAGCCGCGGUAAUACGUAGGUGGCAAGCGUUGUCCGGAUUUACUGGGUGUAAAGGGAGCGCAGGCGGGAAGGCAAGUCAGCUGUGAAAACUAUGGGCUUAACCCAUAGACUGCAGUUGAAACUGUUUUUCUUGAGUGGAGUAGAGGUAAGCGGAAUUCCGAGUGUAGCGGUGAAAUGCUUAGAUAUGACGAAGAACUCCGAUUGGGAAGCCAGCUUACUGUAGCGCCACUGACGCUGAUGCUCGAAAGUGCGGGUAUCGAACAGGAUUAGAUACCCUGGUAGU
This 424-nucleotide ribosomal RNA is filed under the name uncultured Eubacterium sp. Its description in RNAcentral is "bacterial SSU rRNA". It matches the Rfam family "Bacterial small subunit ribosomal RNA", at positions 354 to 794 of the family's 1533-position model. The record is from RNAcentral. Lineage: Bacteria; Bacillati; Bacillota; Clostridia; Eubacteriales; Eubacteriaceae.